This 86-nucleotide transfer RNA is filed under the name Thermoprotei archaeon. RNAcentral describes it as "tRNA-Ser". It matches the Rfam family "tRNA". From Rfam's summary of the family: Transfer RNA (tRNA) molecules are approximately 80 nucleotides in length. Lineage: Archaea; Thermoproteati; Thermoproteota; Thermoprotei. RNAcentral also lists the same sequence under 1 other name. The record is from RNAcentral.
GCCGGGGUGGCCGAGAGGACAAUGGCGGCAGCCUUGAGAGCUGUUGGUCUUUACAGGCCUCGCGGGUUCGAAUCCCGUCCCCGGCG